UGUUCCUGUCUCGUUCCAUGUCCGUUCCGUAUUGAAUGUUUGACUCCCCGUACCUGCUUCGUCUCUCCAGCGUCAACUCAUGUGACCUACUCCAUUGUUUGUUGGUCAUACAAGUUUUUGUCCUCAGGCCUUUUUUCUUCUUCUCUGUUGCUCCAUAACCCAGAUAUCAGGCGUUACUGGAGAUGUGGCAGAUCCUCUCUCCGGUGACACGUUUCGGUGGUUGAAUGAAUCAUCUGAAAACCAAUCUUUCCUAUCAAGCUUAACCCCAGUCAGAUAGAGGUCACCAGAAGAUGCAGCAGGUCACCAGAAGAUGCAGGACCAGAACAGCCUGUUUACAUGGUGGACCAUCCUGGCCUACACCCUGUCUGCGGUCUAUUAAUUGCAGAAUGCCAUGAUUAUCUACAGGGCAGACCAUACUGUAGGUCACUGCAUCUCAGAGGCUUAACACACUAAGUAAUACUAAGUACUACUUGCUGUUGUAGGCCUCUGAAGGCGAUGAAGGCCCAUGGCGUAAUCUACGGAAUCAUCACAAAGUCUAUUUCAUCGUAAUGAGAAAUAGACUUUGUAAAGAUACUGGAGAUUAUUACUUAUUAAAAAUGUUCUAAUGAGUAAACACUCUUGAAUUAAACAUUCCGGAAUGUUUUCUGUUGUCGAAGGUAAAUAAAUAA
Oncorhynchus mykiss (rainbow trout) is the source of this 668-nucleotide non-coding RNA. The record is from RefSeq and is a predicted model, not a curated record. NCBI's taxonomy places the organism in Eukaryota, Metazoa, Chordata, Actinopteri, Salmoniformes, Salmonidae.